GUGGGGAAUAUUGGACAAUGGGGGGAACCCUGAUCCAGCCAUGCCGCGUGUGUGAAGAAGGCCUUUUGGUUGUAAAGCACUUUAAGCGAGGAGGAGGCUACCGAGAUUAAUACUCUUGGAUAGUGGACGUUACUCGCAGAAUAAGCACCGGCUAACUCUGUGCCAGCAGCCGCGGUAAUACAGAGGGUGCAAGCGUUAAUCGGAUUUACUGGGCGUAAAGCGCGCGUAGGUGGCCAAUUAAGUCAAAUGUGAAAUCCCCGAGCUUAACUUGGGAAUUGCAUUGGAUACUGGUUGGCUAGAGUAUGGGAGAGGAUGGUAGAAUUCCAGGUGUAGCGGUGAAAUGCGUAGAGAUCUGGAGGAAUACCGAUGGCGAAGGCAGCCAUCUGGCCUAAUACUGACACUGAGGUGCGAAAGCAUGGGGAGCAAACAGGAUUAGAAACCCGGGUAGUCC
This 451-nucleotide ribosomal RNA is filed under the name uncultured bacterium. RNAcentral's name for it is "partial 16S ribosomal RNA". It matches the Rfam family "Bacterial small subunit ribosomal RNA", at positions 354 to 796 of the family's 1533-position model. The record is from RNAcentral.